Molecule: ribosomal RNA, 497 nt
Filed under: uncultured bacterium
Lineage: Bacteria
Description: partial 16S ribosomal RNA
Rfam family: Bacterial small subunit ribosomal RNA
Source: RNAcentral
GAUGAACGCUGGCGGCGUGCCUAAUACAUGCAAGUCGAGCGAACGGACGAGAAGCUUGCUUUUCUGAUGUUAGCGGCGGACGGGUGAGUAACACGUGGAUAACCUACCUAUAAGACUGGGAUAACUUCGGGAAACCGGAGCUAAUACCGGAUAAUAUUUUGAACCGCAUGGUUCAAAAGUGAAAGACGGUCUUGCUGUCACUUAUAGAUGGAUCCGCGCUGCAUUAGCUAGUUGGUAAGGUAACGGCUUACCAAGGCAACGAUGCAUAGCCGACCUGAGAGGGUGAUCGGCCACACUGGAACUGAGACACGGUCCAGACUCCUACGGGAGGCAGCAGUAGGGAAUCUUCCGCAAUGGGCGAAAGCCUGACGGAGCAACGCCGCGUGAGUGAUGAAGGUCUUCGGAUCGUAAAACACUGUUAUUAGGGAAGAACAUAUGUGUAAGUAACUGUGCACAUCUUGACGGUACCUAAUCAGAAAGCCACGGCUAACUACGUG